Molecule: non-coding RNA, 218 nt
Organism: Chiloscyllium plagiosum (whitespotted bambooshark)
Lineage: Eukaryota; Metazoa; Chordata; Chondrichthyes; Orectolobiformes; Hemiscylliidae
Source: RefSeq, a predicted model, not a curated record
GCUAUAAGACCUGAUACUCGGCGGCCUGGGGACGAAAGACUUUCACAAAGAUUUGUUCUUCAAGCUCCUCCAAAGAAGAAACAGGAAGCAAGUGGCCAAGGAUCAUCAGAUGACGUCUGUCCAUUACCAUACAGUAGUCCAUCACCAUCACCACAACCUAUUCGGCCUCCUGUAGCUUUCACUGUGCCAUGGAGGGAUGAGACUCCAUAAGUUUGGAU